RNAcentral lists this long non-coding RNA (10518 nucleotides) under Eucalyptus grandis. RNAcentral's name for it is "long non-coding RNA (EGRA_LNC003750)". The record is from RNAcentral. Lineage: Eukaryota; Viridiplantae; Streptophyta; Magnoliopsida; Myrtales; Myrtaceae.
CAAGAAGCGCCGUGACUUUCAUCGACAAUCACGACACUGGUUCCACGCAGAAAAUGUGGCCGUUUCCCUCCUAUAAGGUCAUGCAGGGAUAUGCCUACAUCCUCACCCAUCCCGGAGUCCCAUCCAUUGUAAUGUCCUCUUCCUCUCGUUUAAUCGACUCAUCUCACUGUUGUCCCGUGUCUGUCCCGUGUCUGUGAUAACUAAUGUACUAUGUUGAUGUCUGAAAGUUGCCAGUUACAUUGCGUUUUGCUCUUUUAUAAACCUCAAAGAAGUUCAUCUAACUCAUCCCAUUCAUUAACAAGACGCAUGCUUCUUGUAAUUUAGCACCAUAUGAAUUUGCUGAUCUUUCCUUUUCGAUUUGACCUAAGGAAAUGAUAUUUCUACUUGCGCAGUUCUACGAUCACUUCUUUGACUGGGGCCUGAAGGAGGAGAUCGGCAAGUUGACAGCGAUAAGGGCACGGAACCGGAUUAACGAGAAGAGCAGCGUGAAGAUCUUGGCUUCUGAUUCUGAUUUAUACGUGGCCAAGAUCGACGAUGGAGUGAUUAUGAAGAUUGGGCCUAGGUUUGAAGUAGGAAACCUUGUUCCUCCCAAUUAUCAGAUUGCUACAUCCGGCCAAGAUUAUUGUGUGUGGGAGAAGAAGUGAUGUUCAGGCAAACUUAAGAAUAAGCAGCAACUGAAAGAGCAAUUAUAGGUUGCAUUGUUUGAAAUAAAAAUUUACAAGCGGUCUUAUGCACCGUAUGGAAGUAAGUUAAAAUUUUUCGUUCAACCUCUGUUAUUUAUAUAAGGUUGUCAAUUAUCGACACCAUAUGGAAUAAAUGGGUUUGUGUAUUCCCAUUUACGACACAUUCAAAAUUAUAUCUUAGGCCGGAGGUAAUUUGUUUCAACAGGACAUAAUUUGUUUCAACAGGACAUAAUUAGACAUGUUUAACACUCACAUUUAAUGAUUUUUUUAUUAUUAAAAGUUUAUAACAAUAACACCCAUUAAAAGCAUAUGAAAGGAUAAAAAAGUCUGUAAACAAAAUGAAAUUCAAUGAUGCACUGUACAUUAGUGAUAAGUAGAUUUGGAGUAAAGUAAAACAACAUAUCUAGUUGCUAAUUAAGCCGAUCUAACCACCUCACAUGCAAUAACAAAUAAUUAAAUCGCUAUUCCAUUCUAACUAACCACAUAAACCAUACUUAACCUAAACUAAUCAACCAUUAAGCAGAAUUAACUUCAUAAGUAGAGUUUAGUGAGUAAACUCACCGGUUUUGAAAUCCGAUGAGUUCGCGGUGAUUGUAAUGCGGAAAUGGGCGACAAACUCCGAAGCGACGACAUCCUACAAGGCCUGAAAGCGGUCCAAAACGAGCCUAGAAGGCCCACGGCUAGUUGAGGGCUUCGGUUUUGCUUUAUGGGUCGAGAGAGAUCUAGGCGACGGGCUGAGCUGGAAACGGCCAAGGUGGCUAGCGUAGAUUGCUGCGGGACUAGGUGGCGGCGGACGGUGGCUCGAGUGACCACGACGGCGACCACAACGGCUGGAUGACGUUGGACGACAGCAAGUAGGGUGCGAACACGAGUAGGGGACCCGCAGACUUAGGCGCGUAAAUGAGCAGAACUAGAGGGCGAGCGACGACCUGGCAACAGUCAGACGGGUGUGCGACGGGCAAGGGUAGGAGGCUACUCGAUCUCUUGCAAUUUUUGGGAGUUUCCAAGCUUGAAAAUGGAGAAAGCAAGUCUUGUUGAAGAAGAAAAGCCAGUUGCAAGAGUGGAGGGACCCUUUGGCCCCAAAGUCUCCAUUCCUAUCUCCUUUGUCCCCUUGGCAAGGCCCCACCUGUUUCAGCUAAUCCUUAGCCAAUUUUGUACACACAAAACCCCCUAGAACAAGUUCCAAAUGGUCCAAAAGUUGAGGGGGACCAUGACAUACAAAUUUGACACCAAAUUCCCCAAAUUGAGUUCAAUUCUCCUCCAAUUGGGUUCAAUUCGGUCUCCAUAAAUUCCACCAAGGUGUCCUCAACCAAAUUGACAUUUUUCCUCACUAAUAAAAUCAACUUGCAUCCUAAAAACGCGAUAAAAAUUGGUCCCUGAAUUUUCCGGACAAAAACAGCCCAAUUUUGAAUUUUCGUCAAAAAUCUCAGUUUGCAGAAAAAUCUUUGGAGGAAGAGUUGACAUUCCUAAAAUGAAUUGUGACAUGAAAAAACUUUCAAUUUCUGAAAUCGGAUUCAAAUUCGCAGUUAAUUUUAAUCUAGCGCGAUUUUAGAAUGACCUAGCCUACUGGAUAGCUUUUAGAAAUUUUUAGUGCAAUUGACCCGUGGUCGAUUUAUUUCGAGUCACAAUGUACAUCUUUGACACAUUAGCGACUCUUGAUUGUUGAGAAAAUCUCAAUGUUUAAAAUACGGGCAUAGGGUACCCAAAACGACAAAAAAAUCGGUCAAUACCGAUCGACGAGAAUUUUGUAAUCAGGUGGAAUCACUCAUACUUUGAUCAUACUAUGAUCUAUGUUCGAUUUUGACAAUGUCGUAAUGACUCUUGCAGACUAGCACGGUCAAGCAAUUGAUUCUUAAUCGAAUUCUCAAGUCUAUUGCGUUAAAAUCCCUUAACGGCUUCGCUUGAUAGGCUAGUUAUCUCGUGAUUAGCCAACUCAGAGAAAAGAAUUAUAGGCGUGUCGAUGAAAAGCUCAACUUAUUCAAUAAAAAAACAUAGCCUGAAAUUCAGGAUGUCACACGUCAUCCGUGAUUGGGUUCAACAGGGGCGAAUGCCGAAUCUGCUUGGCUCAUCAAAAACCGGAAAUGUUUGUGGGGAGUGCAUGUUGGCGAACUUUCAAUCAGCGUUGGGAAGAACAAUGAAGUCAAUCUUUGAAAUAUGAUAUCACUAUCUUUAAUGAAUUAUUUUCCUCACAACUUGGCUAAUAGUCACCUGCAAAUUUCGUCCAAGAUACAACAAAAUCUCGUUUGAGAAUACUAGAUAGAAAUAUUUCUCUAAGAUCUUUCAAGGAAAACAAUUGGAAACAAUGGCUAUAUAUUUUUUUGAAAGAAAAUAAAAUUAGAAGCCGAAGAUCAUUAUUGAACAAACAUGUUCAGUAAUUAAUAUAAAGAACAAGAAGGUAUAUCGGAAUAGACACAACCUUCCAAAGAUUAAAAAGUUAUGCCUAACAUGUAUGAACUUUGAAAUAACCAUUGGAAGAAGUAAUAAAAUUGGGAAUUAAAUACAUAAAAAAUAAAAAUUAUCAUAAUUUUUUCAUAAACAGUCACAUUGUUCUAAUAGGACAUUACUUUUAAUUUUUAUAAUUAUAAAUCCGAUUUUUAAUAAAUAAAAAAUAAUGAUCAUUGAUUAGUGUCGAAUUUUGUCUAUGUGCGCAUUCACAUCUUUUUGAUGUGGGAUAAGGCAUCUCUUGAUUUGUUUUAUAAAUAAACUACCAAGGAUGCUUAAUUGCUUAUAGCAUUGUUGCUUGGCAGUAGUUUUCCUUUCGGCAAGUGACUCCUUUUACUGUUCGUCCCAUAUAGACCGAUGAAAUCAAAUUUUUAGUACAUGUUGUUUAUGUUCUGUUUCCCCCAGUGGGUUGCGUUAGCGUAAUAUAUGGUUGAGUAUAGGGGUGAGCGGUUCCCGGUUCCUUACAGGUUCCGCUUGGAACCUGGAACCUACCCUCGGGUACACGUUCUUCAUUUUUUGGAACCUGGAACCUACCCGUCAAAACCGAGAACCUGGAACCUACCCUGUCACAGGUUCCGGGGUCGGUUCCGGUUCCAACAGGUUCUUUUUUUUUUUUUCAUUUUUAGUUAAAAAAAUGAAAAUGAAUGCAGCAAUAAUAAACAAACUUGUCAUUCAUUGAAGAUAAUAUAACACAAAUAGCAAACAGCAUUUUAGAAGUAAUAAACAAGCCGUCAUUUGAACAACACACUUCAUUCUAAAUGAUCUUUGCCUUAAUCAAAUCGAAAGUUUCUUGCUGUGCUCGGAACUAACGUACCCUGUCUCCAAUUGGAUUGAGUAUCCCAUCUCUAAAAGCUGAAAACAGCAGCAAACAUAACUUAGCACCACCAAAAUUAAAAAAGAGAAGACCCAAACAACUAAAACUUCCAGAUAUGCUAAGAAGGGUUACUUACGCACAGUGAUAGAGCCAUGCUGCUUUUGCUGCACAGGAUAACUAAACAGCUUAAUAACUCGGCAUGCUGACGUUCAAAUUAGGAAUGCGCAUCAGGGGUUGAUAAGGAUAUACUUUAGUCUUUUGAGAAAGAGCGGCACCCCAGGUAGUUUAGCCUGUAUCUCCUCAAACAUUUUAUCCACUCUAACAGCAGGAGGGGCUCUUCUGAAUUGGGGGCUUUCCUCAAACACGUCAAAAGGUUGUUCGGUGAGCUGCAUCAUUGAUGGUCACGGACUAUUCAUUAGCUUAUCGGAAGAUGUUGCAUUAUAAUUGACACACAAGAUAUAAGAAACACAAUUAACAGGGCAAUCAGGGGAUAAAAGAGGUGUCUAUCAGUCAUCAAGGAAAAUGUUGCAGCAGACAGGAUAUAAGACUCACAAGUCCUUUCAUUUCAGCUAAUCUAGUCAGGUCUCUUAUAAGCCCACGCAUGUCACACCGAGCAAAGAAGUUCACCACAGCCCAUUUCUGUAUCUUAGCUGGCUCAACAAAUUUCUGCAGAAGAGUGAAAAGAUAGCAUAAACAGACUUAUUGAACACAAUAAUUGGUGGCGGAUAAUUCAAAUAACCUUAUUCUAAAAGCUCCACCGUCCAUUGUGGGGGAAGAAAUCCUCUCCAUUGCCCACGUUUAGCUGGGAAGGAAGCCACAGAAGUUUGUGUUAUUGCAGAUGAUUGUCUAACAGUCCAUUGCAAACAAACAGAAUUUCUUUUUUUUCUUUUUUCUUUUUUUAUCCAGCAAACAAAAUGCAAAAGGGAAACUAGCAGUGGCACCUUAGGAGCCGGUAGAACACGGCCUUCAACUUGAGUAAAGCUAUUGCUAAUUGUUAUACCGCAUGAACGCAGCAUAGGUUCAGAAUCAUAGUUGCUACGCUCCAAUCUGAUCCUUCACUUGAAACUGAUAAGUCCAGUCCUGUUUCAGAUCAUGAAAUCCUUUGGCUGCUUCCUCACAUACAUGCUUUCCGAGAUGGAGUUUGAACCAUACUCUAGAUUCCAAAUUCAUCAGGACUGCAGACUUUGUAGACUCUUUAGCGCGAUUAAGUUGCACUUGAGUAACUGCCAAAAAGAAAAAAUUUCAAUUAGUGUCAGGGCACACUAGAAACAAAAUAACAAGAAUGGCACAUUGAAGAAAAUAAACAGAUGCAGCAUGAACCUUGUCCAGGUGUUGCCAGUGCUAUUAAUUCUUCAGCAGCCACAUCAACGGCUUUUGCCACAAAGUCAGAGCUCUGCUAACCAAAUUUAGAAGAAAAUGAUAAGCUCAGAAGUAAUUAGCAAAACACUAAAAGUUUGUCACUGCCAGUAACUUUGUCAACACCUAGUCAGUGGCACUCCAUGCUGACAGAAGCUAAAAAGAUUAAGUUCGAAUUUACCAUAGGUUUUCAUGUUUUAACCAAUAUCAGGCAUUAGGGACCCCAAUUCACUUUUUUUCUUAUGUCUCCUGGUCAGUGCCAAAACAACGAGUAAACCCGCGCCACGAGCCCUAGCAAAUCCAACCAAAGCCAUCGACGUCCAAAGAGAGGGACAUACCUUGAGGAUGAGAAUCUCGUUGUCGAGGAGGCGAAAGCCAGCCCAAGCUUCAAAGCCCCGCGCUUUCGAAUCGAGCAAAGAGAAUACAACACAAAUGCUCAAAAGCUUAAAAAGAACGAUGCAGAGAGAGAGAGAGCUUACGGUCUUUGCCNNNNNNNNNNNNNNNNNNNNNNNNNNNNNNNNNNNNNNNNNNNNNNNNNNNNNNNNNNNNNNNNNNNNNNNNNNNNNNNNNNNNNNNNNNNNNNNNNNNNNNNNNNNNNNNNNNNNNNNNNNNNNNNNNNNNNNNNNNNNNNNNNNNNNNNNNNNNNNNNNNNNNNNNNNNNNNNNNNNNNNNNNNNNNNNNNNNNNNNNNNNNNNNNNNNNNNNNNNNNNNNNNNNNNNNNNNNNNNNNNNNNNNNNNNNNNNNNNNNNNNNNNNNNNNNNNNNNNNNNNNNNNNNNNNNNNNNNNNNNNNNNNNNNNNNNNNNNNNNNNNNNNNNNNNNNNNNNNNNNNNNNNNNNNNNNNNNNNNNNNNNGGUGACGGUGGCUUGGGGACGGCGGCGGUGCCUCACGGCGGCGCGGACAGCAAGACAGCUCGUCGGGCUAAACGGUGAGACGGCUUGUCGGACGAGCAGUGGGUGGUGGGGGUUCGGUGGCCAAGAGGUGGUGGUGAGUAGGGCGUGGGGCAGCGGUGUGGUGGUGGGUGAAGCAGCAACCGGCGAGAGGAAGGAAGAAGAAGAAGAAGAAGAAGAAGAGGUGGGAGGGUUCGGCUGAGAGAGGAGGAGAGAGAGAGAGAGGGGAAAAGAAAAAAGUGGGGGGCAGGAAGUGACGUGAGGAGGAAAAAGGGGAGAAAAGAGAGAGAGAAAAAGAAAGGGAAAGGGGGGAAAAUUGAAGGGGGGGGAAUUCGAGCGAAAGGGAUUAGGGUUUUUUUAUUUUUUAACUUUGCCGGUUCUGGUUCCUGUGGGAACCGGAACCGGAACCGGGAACCGCCGGUUCCUGGAAAAAGAGAACCGGGAACCGGAACCGGUCCCCUUAGAACCGGGAACCGAACCGGAACCUCCUCCGGUUCGGUUCCGGUUCCCGGUUCUAACCGGAACCACGCUCACCCCUAGUUGAGUAUGAAAGCUUAGAUCUUGCAAGUUAGGAGAAUAUUGGUGGGUCAUUAAGGGAUAUGCGGACCCUUGGAGUACCUUAACUUUGCCCAAAGAGACACUUAAGUGUUAUAACUUACGAAAUGUACACUUAAGUGCCAAAAUCGGAGUAAAAUGGAUCACUUGAGUGCCAAUCUGGUCAAAGUCCAGCCAAAACGUUAACGUGGCAUUUUUCGGGCGAACCGAGUCCAAAACGACGCUGUUUUGCACGCUGACAUGACCAAAAUAUGCAAAAACGGCGUUGUUUUGAGCUGACGUGGUAAAAAAAAAUAAUUAAAUUAAAUUUAAAAAUAAUAAUUUUAAAAUUAAAUUUAGUUAAAAUAUUUAAAAAUAAUAAUUUUAAAAUUAAAUUUAGUUGAAAUAUUAAAAAUUUAAUUAAAAAUAAUAAUUUUAAAAUUAAAUUCAACCGCCGUCGCCGCCGCCCCGCCGCCGUCGGGAAGGGCCGGGCGAGGGCCGCCGCCCGCUGGGGGUCGCCACAGCGAGCGGCGGCCCUUGGUCCGACUAGGCGAGGGCUGCCGACCCUCACUAGAUCUAGGCAAGGGCGGCGACGGCUGAGGGCGAUCCCUUAGCCGCCUCCCCCCUUUCCUUUUUUUUUUUUUUUUAAUUUUUUAAAAUUUUAAAAUUUUAAAAUUAUUAAUUUUUUAAUAUUUCAACUAAAUUUAAUUUUAAAAUUAUUAAUUUUAAAUAUUUUAACUCAAUUUAAUUUUUAAUUUAAUUUAAUUAUUUUUAAUUAUUUUUUUUACCACAUCAGCACAAAAACAACGUCGUUUUUGCAUUAUUUAGCCACGUCAGCGUGCAAAAUGACGUCGUUUUGGGCGCGCUUUGCCGGAAAAAUGCAACGUCGGCAUUUUGGCCGGAGUAGCACUCAAGUGAUUCGUUUUUCUUCGAAUGUGGCACUUAGGUGUAUCUUUCGUAAGUUAUGGCACUUAAAUAUCUCUUUGGACAAAGUUAUGGUACUUAAAGCGUUCUUUUGCCAUCAUUCAGGAGUAUCGCAUUAUCUAUGCCUGGAACAUGGACACGCCACGCACCGAUAUGAUCUUUGUGGCCAGUCGGGGUUCUCUAUUGAAACGGUAUUAGUUACGAAAUCUACUGCUUAGAACUACGUUAAGCCCACUGAACCCAUGGUUCCCUAUAAUUUUCUCUUUCUAUUUGGGGUUGCAAUUACCAUGUGAUUUCUGGCUAACCCUGUUGCCUAAUCCACUUCCCUAAUCAUCACAUGGUCUUGCUUGAAAACGAAGUAUUGAGGGGUAAUGUGAAAUAUCGACCUUUGAGGAAGACAGGCCAAACACGAAAGAAACAGAACGAAACUUGACUUAGCGAAGUCUUUGCUCUCUGUUGUUUUUUUCUUGGCACGACUCUCAGUCGAUUCAGACUUCUGAAGCUUCACGUGGGUUACGCGGCGUGCCAUUUACGUUGCAUUCACUUCCUGUUUUCUUGGCCACCCAACGUCCUUAGCCUACCCCUCUCGGUUGCCAUUGGCCAACAAUCUAAUACGCGUUUGUGGAAUACAAAGUCGGACUUUUAAUCCGAAUGGCAGCCCCCUGCUGCUCGACUUUCCACGUCCAUUCCUCUAAAUUGUCCUGUUUCCUUUGAUUUGUCAGGAGUCAUCCUCUUCAUGCGCCUUUGACAUGUCCAAUCUAAAAUUUCCAUGACAUAGCCCUCCGGUUCCAAUUAAAAGAUCAGAGAAAGAAAAAGGAAGGAGCAUGUGAUGAUGAGUUCUCCCUCUCUCUUCUGGCUCUUCGUUCUUUUGGUCUUUUACCUCGCCGCCUCAGCAUCCCCUGCCUUGUUAUUUCAGGUGAGAUAGAGAAAUCAACGUCUUGUUCUUCAUUACGAUACAAAGUGACAGAGAAAGCAAUGGAGAUUUCAUUUAUAUGCUUUACUUGUUGAGUUAUAUGUCUGACUGUUCAAGAAUUUGGGCGUUAUCUGAACAAAGGGGUUCAACUGGGAAUCUUCGAAGAAGGAAGGGGGAUGGUACAAUUCGCUCAAGAACUUGGUACCGGAUUUGGCCAAUGCUGGAAUUACUCAUGUGUGGCUUCCUCCACCGUCUCAAUCUGCCGCUCAACAAGGUAUAUCGCUGUGCCCUAACUCCUAAUAAUAAAAAAUCACUCAAUUUCCUUCUACAGUUGCGCUUGCCUGCAGUGUAGUGAUGAUUGAUGAAUAUGAUAGUGAUUACGGGCUAAAUCAUCAGAAUUAAUAGUUCUGGACUGCUAGUCCAGGAUGAAUUGAUGUUUGAUGCAUUCGACAAUCUUGGAUCAAAUUCAACCGUGUGGUUUCUGAGAAGAAAUAGAUCCUCAAAAGAAAUACUCUAUAUGAACAUCUGUUCCAAGGUUAGAAUUUAGUAGGACUCAUUUUGAUGAAUGCCAUCCCCUCUUUUCUCUAGGGUACCUGCCUGGGCGGCUCUAUGAUCUCAAUGCUUCGAGCUACGGGAAUCAGGAUGAGUUGAAGCAUCUUAUUGAUGCUUUCCAUCAAAAGGGAAUCAAAUGCCUGGCCGACAUAGUGAUUAACCACAGGACUGCGGAAAAACAAGAUAGCCGGGGAAUAUGGUGCAUCUUCGAAGGCGGAACACCCGACGAACGUCUUGACUGGGGGCCGUCCUUUAUUUGUCGCGAUGACACUGAGUUCUCUGAUGGCAUGGGUAAUCUUGAUACAGGUGGGGACUUCAAUAAUACGCCCGACAUAGACCACCUCAAUCCGAGGGUGCAAAAGGAGCUGUCUGACUGGAUGAAUUGGUUGAAGAGCGAUAUAGGAUUUGAUGGGUGGCGAUUCGAUUUCGUACUGGGUUAUGACCCAAGCAUCACCAAAAUCUACAUGGAUCGGACUUUGCCGAAUUUUGCGGUGGGAGAGAACUGGGACUCGCUCUCUUAUGGACAGGAUAAGAAGCCCAACCCAAACCAGGAUGCACACCGCCAUAAGCUGGCGGAAUGGGUCAAUGCUGCAGGCGGGGCCGUCACGGCAUUUGAUUUCACCACGAAGGGGAUCCUCCAGGCGGCCGUUGAAGGGGAGCUUUGGCGGUUGAAGGAUUCAAACGGGAUGCCGCCGGGAUUGAUUGGCCUCCAGCCAAGCAGUGCCGUGACUUUCAUCGACAAUCACGACACUGGUUCCACGCAAAAAAUAUGGCCGUUUCCGUCCGAUAAGGUCAUGCAGGGAUAUGCCUACAUCCUCACCCAUCCUGGAGUCCCAUCCAUUGUAAUGUCCUCUUGCUCUCGUUUAAUCGACUCAUCUCACUGUUGUGCUGUGUCUGUGAUGACUAAUGUACUAUGUUGAUGUCUGAAAGUUGCCAGUUACGUUGCGUUUCGCUCUAUUAUAAACCUCAGAGAAGUUCAUCUAACUUAUCCCAUUCAUUAACAAGACGCAUGCUUCUUGUAAUUUAGCACCAUAUGAAUUUGCUGAUCUUUCUUUUUUGAUUUGACCUAAGGAAAUGAUAUUUCUACUUGCGCAGUUCUAUGAUCACUUCUUUGACUGGGGCCUGAAGGAGGAGAUCGGCAAGUUGACGGCGAUAAGGGCGCGGAACCAGAUUAACGAGAAGAGCAGUGUGGAGAUCUUGGCUUCCGAUUCUGAUUUAUACGUGGCCAAGAUCGACGAUGGAGUGAUUAUGAAGAUUGGACCUAGGUUUGAAGUAGGAAACCUUGUUCCUCCCAAUUAUCAGAUUGCUACAUCCGGCCAAGAUUAUUGUGUGUGGGAGAAGAAGUGAUGUUCAGGCAAACUUAAGAAUAAGCAGCAACUGAAAGAGCAAUUAUAGGCUGCAUUGUUUGAAAU